CCGAUCCAGAAAAAAAUAUCCCAGGGAUUCAGUCAUGUUCUAAUGAACAGCGGUGGCUUCCGGCGGCGAUACGAGUGGGCCCGGUGGGAGCACGGGCUCCGGCGUUGUCCUCUCAACCCCUCUGUGCGAGAUGAGCAUCGCGUGAAUGGCGAUUGCUCAGGGGGUCGAGGGGCCUGAGCUGUCCCAACACAAGACAGACGUCCGUGUGAUGGACGACGCCUUGCCGGUGACGAACACCUGGCCGAAGUCGAGCGCAGUCCGUGAGCCAGGUCAUGGUCGGGCGGCGGAGCUGGUCGUGGCUGCUUCAUGAAGAGGUUAUCUUCAGAGCUACAGCUUGGAUCAGUACGUGGUCCUUACUCACUUCUAUGGACUCCAGGGAGCCUUUGGUUACUGGGUGCAACCAAUGAGAGAUGGUAGCUCGGGUUAUCUUCAACCGGUUCGGAUGACGCUCGCAUAAUAGGAUAGGAGUCUAGAGAGCUUAUCCUUUUUAUCUUCAUUGUGCCGGUUGGCAUGGUUCGCAUGUACUUUUCCUUUUUUUGAUACUCUAUUCUGCUCCGUUUUGUGAGCUGUAAGACUCUUAUGAUGAUUUUGAAUUGUUAAUAAGAUGGCCGCAUGUAUCAUCAUGAUGCA
RNAcentral lists this ribosomal RNA (630 nucleotides) under Triticum aestivum (bread wheat). Its description in RNAcentral is "partial small subunit ribosomal RNA". Lineage: Eukaryota; Viridiplantae; Streptophyta; Magnoliopsida; Poales; Poaceae. The record is from RNAcentral.